CAAACGUAUUGGAACACUUCGUAUUUCACACAUUUGAAUUUGUUUAUGCCAUUUCAAAUACAAAUAAAAAAAUAAAUCUAAAAAAAAAAUCUCAAAUUA
This is a long non-coding RNA of Thalassophryne amazonica, 99 nucleotides long. RefSeq lists it as uncharacterized. NCBI's taxonomy places the organism in Eukaryota, Metazoa, Chordata, Actinopteri, Batrachoidiformes, Batrachoididae. The record is from RefSeq and is a predicted model, not a curated record. The transcript has 3 exons.